This 444-nucleotide ribosomal RNA is filed under the name uncultured bacterium. RNAcentral describes it as "bacterial SSU rRNA". It matches the Rfam family "Bacterial small subunit ribosomal RNA", at positions 33 to 510 of the family's 1533-position model. The record is from RNAcentral.
AUUUUCGACGACCCUGGCGGCAUUUUUAACACAUGCACCUCGCACGGCCUCUUCGGAGGCAGUGGCGAACGGGUGAGUAACGCGUGGGAACCUACCCUGGAGUGGGGGAUAACCACUGGAAACGGUGGCUAAUACCGCAUGUGCCCUGCGGGGCAAAGCAGCAAUGCGCUCUUGGAGGGGCCCGCGUCCGAUUAGCUAGUUGGUGGGGUGACGGCCUACCAAGGCUGCGUUCGGUAGCUGGUCUGAGAGGAUGAUCAGCCACACUGGGACUGAGACACGGCCCAGACUCCUACGGGAGGCAGCAGUGGGGAAUAUUGGACAAUGGGCGAAAGCCUGAUCCAGCAAUGCCGCGUGCGUGAUGAAGGCCUUCCGGUUGUAAAGCGCUUUCACCCACGACGAUGAUGACGGUAGUGGGAGAAGAAGCCCCGGCUAACAUCCUUGCCA